RNAcentral lists this ribosomal RNA (492 nucleotides) under Enterobacter cloacae subsp. dissolvens. RNAcentral's name for it is "bacterial SSU rRNA". It matches the Rfam family "Bacterial small subunit ribosomal RNA", at positions 855 to 1347 of the family's 1533-position model. The record is from RNAcentral. Lineage: Bacteria; Pseudomonadati; Pseudomonadota; Gammaproteobacteria; Enterobacterales; Enterobacteriaceae.
ACGCGUUAAAUCGUCCGCCUGGGGAGUACGGCCGCAAGGUUAAAACUCAAAUGAAUUGACGGGGGCCCGCACAAGCGGUGGAGCAUGUGGUUUAAUUCGAUGCAACGCGAAGAACCUUACCUGGUCUUGACAUCCACAGAACUUUCCAGAGAUGGAUUGGUGCCUUCGGGAACUGUGAGACAGGUGCUGCAUGGCUGUCGUCAGCUCGUGUUGUGAAAUGUUGGGUUAAGUCCCGCAACGAGCGCAACCCUUAUCCUUUGUUGCCAGCGGUUAGGCCGGGAACUCAAAGGAGACUGCCAGUGAUAAACUGGAGGAAGGUGGGGAUGACGUCAAGUCAUCAUGGCCCUUACGACCAGGGUUACACACGUGCUACAAUGGCGCAUACAAAGAGAAGCGACCUCGCGAGAGCAAGCGGACCUCAUAAAGUGCGUCGUAGUCCGGAUUGGAGUCUGCAACUCGACUCCAAGAGUUUGAUAUUGGUUGUAAUUGUAG